Molecule: ribosomal RNA, 527 nt
Filed under: uncultured bacterium
Lineage: Bacteria
Description: bacterial SSU rRNA
Rfam family: Bacterial small subunit ribosomal RNA
Source: RNAcentral
UUUUUCGGUGUGGGAUGAGCUCGCGGCCUAUCAGCUUGUUGGUGGGGUAAUGGCCUACCAAGGCGUCGACGGGUAGCCGGCCUGAGAGGGUGUACGGCCACAUUGGGACUGAGAUACGGCCCAGACUCCUACGGGAGGCAGCAGUGGGGAAUAUUGCACAAUGGGCGCAAGCCUGAUGCAGCGACGCCGCGUGGGGGAUGACGGCCUUCGGGUUGUAAACUCCUUUCGCUAGGGACGAAGCUUGUUUGUGACGGUACCUGGAGAAGAAGCACCGGCUAACUACGUGCCAGCAGCCGCGGUAAUACGUAGGGUGCGAGCGUUGUCCGGAAUUACUGGGCGUAAGGAGCUCGUAGGUGGUUUGUCGCGUCGUUUGUGUAAGCCCGCAGCUUAACUGCGGGACUGCAGGCGAUACGGGCAUAACUUGAGUGCUGUGGGGGAGACUGGAAUUCCUGGUGUAGCGGUGGAAUGCGCAGAUAUCAGGAGGAACACCGAUGGCGAAGGCAGGUCUCUGGGCAGUAACUGACGCU